Molecule: ribosomal RNA, 637 nt
Filed under: Salmonella enterica
Lineage: Bacteria; Pseudomonadati; Pseudomonadota; Gammaproteobacteria; Enterobacterales; Enterobacteriaceae
Also listed under: 4 other names
Description: partial 23S ribosomal RNA
Rfam family: Bacterial large subunit ribosomal RNA
Source: RNAcentral
GGACGCCAGUCUGCGUGGAGCCGACCUUGAAAUACCACCCUUUAAUGUUUGAUGUUCUAACGUGGACCCGUUACCCGGGUUGCGGACAGUGUCUGGUGGGUAGUUUGACUGGGGCGGUCUCCUCCUAAAGAGUAACGGAGGAGCACGAAGGUUGGCUAAUCCUGGUCGGACAUCAGGAGGUUAGUGCAAUGGCAUAAGCCAGCUUGACUGCGAGCGUGACGGCGCGAGCAGGUGCGAAAGCAGGUCAUAGUGAUCCGGUGGUUCUGAAUGGAAGGGCCAUCGCUCAACGGAUAAAAGGUACUCCGGGGAUAACAGGCUGAUACCGCCCAAGAGUUCAUAUCGACGGCGGUGUUUGGCACCUCGAUGUCGGCUCAUCACAUCCUGGGGCUGAAGUAGGUCCCAAGGGUAUGGCUGUUCGCCAUUUAAAGUGGUACGCGAGCUGGGUUUAGAACGUCGUGAGACAGUUCGGUCCCUAUCUGCCGUGGGCGCUGGAGAACUGAGGGGGGCUGCUCCUAGUACGAGAGGACCGGAGUGGACGCAUCACUGGUGUUCGGGUUGUCAUGCCAAUGGCACUGCCCGGUAGCUAAAUGCGGAAGAGAUAAGUGCUGAAAGCAUCUAAGCACGAAACUUGCCCCGA